RNAcentral lists this ribosomal RNA (395 nucleotides) under uncultured bacterium. RNAcentral's name for it is "bacterial SSU rRNA". It matches the Rfam family "Bacterial small subunit ribosomal RNA", at positions 28 to 424 of the family's 1533-position model. The record is from RNAcentral.
GACGAACGCUGGCGGCGUGCUUAACACAUGCAAGUCGAGCGGUAAGGCCCUUUCGGGGGUACACGAGCGGCGAACGGGUGAGUAACACGUGGGUGACCUGCCCUCAGCUCUGGGAUAAGCCUGGGAAACCGGGUCUAAUACUGGAUAUGACUCCAUGACGCAUGUUGUGGGGUGGAAAGCCUUGUGCGGCUGAGGAUGGGCCCGCGGCCUAUCAGCUUGUUGGUGGGGUGANGGCCUACCAAGGCGACGACGGGUAGCUGGUCUGAGAGGAUGAUCAGCCACACUGGGACUGAGACACGGCCCAGACUCCUACGGGAGCAGCAGUGGGGAAUAUUGGACAAUGGGCGAAAGCCUGAUCCAGCAAUGCCGCGUGUGUGAAGAAGGCCUGGCGGGUU